UCAGCUCACUGCAACCUCCGCCUCCUGGGUUCACGCCGUUCUCCUGCCUCAGCCUCCUGAGUAGCUGGGAUUACAGGCGCCCACCACCAUGCCCGGCUAAUUUUUUGUAUUUUUAGUAGACAUGGAGUUUCACCGUGUCAGCCAGGAUGGUCUCAAUCUCCUGACCUCGUGAUCCGCCCGCCUUGGCCUCCCAAAGUGCUGGGAUUACAGGCGUGAGCCACCACGCCCGGCCUCGCUCAUUCACUCUUUCAAUUCAGUCAUCCUGGAGUCGUCCUUGACUCCUGCUUGCUCACGGCCCCCGCAGCCCAUCCAUCAGGAUCUCCUGUCCCUACCACCCUAAUGGAAUGUCAGCCCCUGGAGGGGGUUCUGCAAUGCCAUGCCUGCUUCACCACAGCCGCCAGAAUAUCAGCUCCAUGAGGGCAGGAAAUGUUUGGUUGAGCACCUGGCACAGCACUGAAGCUCAUUCACAUUUGUGGAAG
RNAcentral lists this long non-coding RNA (479 nucleotides) under Homo sapiens (human). Its description in RNAcentral is "HSALNT0379529". Lineage: Eukaryota; Metazoa; Chordata; Mammalia; Primates; Hominidae. The record is from RNAcentral.